GCGAGGGUAAAGGCGGGGAUUGUAAAACCUGCCGUUUCUUGAGUUGCCUGCGGCCUAUCAGCUUGUUGGUGAGGUAAUAGCUCACCAAGGCUACUACGGGUAACUGGCCUUAGAGGGCGAUCAGUCACACUGGAACUGAGACACGGUCCAGACACCUACGGGUGGCAGCAGUCGAGAAUCUUUCACAAUGGGGGAAACCCUGAUGGAGGGACGCCGCGUGGAGGUUAAGGUUUUCGGAUUGUAAACUCCUGUCAUGCGUGAACAACUAUGCCUGGAUAAUAUUCAGUCAAAACGAUAGUAGCGCAAGAGGAAGAGGCGGCUAACUCUGUGCCAGCAGCCGCGGUAAUACAGAGGCCUCAAGCGUUGUUCGGAAUUAUUGGGCGUAAAGGGCGCGUAGGCGGCGGUAUAAGUUGUUUGUAAAAACUUCAGGCUUAACCUGGAAGUUGCAAACAGUACUGUAUCGCUAGAGGUUUUAAGAGGGGGGUGGAAUUCACGGAGUAGCAGUGAAAUGCGUAGAGAUCGUGAGGAACACCAAUGGCGAAGGCAGCCCCCUGGGAAUUUCCUGACGCUGAUGCGCGAAGGCUUGGGUAGCAAACGGGAUUAGAUACCCCGGUAGUCCAAGCAGUAAACUGUGCACGUUUAGUCUAAGGGACUUGACAGUCCUUGGGCUGUAUUUAACACGUUAAACGUGCCGCCUGGGAAGUACGGUCGCAAGACUAAAACUCAAAGAAAUUGACGGGGACCCGCACAAGCGGUGGAGUAUGUGGCUUAAUUCGAUGCAACGCGAAGAACCUUACCUGGACUUGACAUGCAAAGUAUCCUUGUAAGAAAUUACAUGGUGAAGCAAUUCAGUUUGCACAGGUGCUGCAUGGCUGUCGUCAGCUCGUGUCGUGAGAUGUUGGGUUAAGUCCCGCAACGAGCGCAACCCCUGUAGUCAGUUGCCAACCGCAAGGAGGAACUCUGGCUAGACUGCCUAGAUUAACUAGGAGGAAGGUGGGGAUGACGUCAAGUCCUGAUGGCCCUUACGUCCAGGGCUGCACACGUACUACAAUGCGCAGCACAGUGAGAGCCGAUGCCGCAAGGUGGAGGAAAUCUAUAAAGCUGCGCCAAGUUCAGAUUGUUGGCUGCAACUCGCCGACAUGAAGUUGGAAUCGCUAGUAAUGGCAUAUCAGCUACGGUGCCGUGAAUACGUUCCCGGGUCUUGUACACACCGCCCGUCACAUCAUGGAAGUUGGCCUUACCCGAAGCUGUUUCUUGCAUCAAAGGUAAAGCGGACAACUGGGAUGAAGUCGUAACAAGGUAGCCGUAGGGGAACCU
Molecule: ribosomal RNA, 1317 nt
Filed under: metagenome
Description: bacterial SSU rRNA
Rfam family: Bacterial small subunit ribosomal RNA
Source: RNAcentral